UCACUAGACACAAUGAAAUAAAUAUGUCUCUGGUUAUUUGUACUGUUACUUAAGUACUGAGAUCCAGCACUUCCUUCAUCACUCGGAAUCACCAACACAGUGUU
Long non-coding RNA from Etheostoma cragini (Arkansas darter), 104 nucleotides. RefSeq lists it as uncharacterized. NCBI's taxonomy places the organism in Eukaryota, Metazoa, Chordata, Actinopteri, Perciformes, Percidae. The record is from RefSeq and is a predicted model, not a curated record. The transcript has 3 exons.